This 505-nucleotide RNase P RNA is filed under the name Streptomyces neyagawaensis. RNAcentral describes it as "partial ribonuclease P RNA". The stretch from base 9 to 428 matches the Rfam family "Bacterial RNase P class A". From Rfam's summary of the family: Ribonuclease P (RNase P) is a ubiquitous endoribonuclease, found in archaea, bacteria and eukarya as well as chloroplasts and mitochondria. Its best characterised activity is the generation of mature 5'-ends of tRNAs by cleaving the 5'-leader elements of precursor-tRNAs. The record is from RNAcentral. Lineage: Bacteria; Bacillati; Actinomycetota; Actinomycetes; Kitasatosporales; Streptomycetaceae.
ACGGCAGACGAGCCGGGCGGACGGCCGCGUGGAGUCCCCCCUCCUAGGGGGCUUCCCGAGGAACGUCCGGGCUUCACAGGGCAGGGUGGUGGCUAACGGCCACCCGGGGUGACCCGCGGGACAGUGCCACAGAAAGCAGACCGCCGGGGACCUCGGUCCUCGGUAAGGGUGAAACGGUGGUGUAAGAGACCACCAGUGCCCAGGGUGACCUGGGCAGCUAGGUAAACCCCACCCGAAGCAAGGUCAAGAGGGAGUACCUACCAGGGUUAGGCAAGGGCUCCUGCGCGGACGAUCGAGGGCUGCCCGCCCGAGUCCGCGGGUAGACCGCACGAGGCCGGUGGCAACACCGGCCCUAGAUGGAUGGCCGUCUCCCCGGCCGCCGCGAGGCGACCGGGUGACAGAACCCGGCGUACAGCCCGACUCGUCUGCUAGAUGGAUGGCCGUCUCCCCGGCCGCCGCGAGGCGACCGGGCGACAGAACCCGGCGUACAGCCCGACUCGUCUGC